Molecule: microRNA precursor, 84 nt
Filed under: Bombyx mori (domestic silkworm)
Lineage: Eukaryota; Metazoa; Arthropoda; Insecta; Lepidoptera; Bombycidae
Description: mir-2807 microRNA precursor family
Rfam family: mir-2807 microRNA precursor family
Source: Rfam by way of RNAcentral
UUAACUCAUCUUUGUGUGGAAUUGGAUCGUUUGCCUGCGUUUGCCGCUAGAGGCGCUGUUCCAACUGCACACAAAAUCGAAUUA